Non-coding RNA from Ailuropoda melanoleuca (giant panda), 72 nucleotides. NCBI's taxonomy places the organism in Eukaryota, Metazoa, Chordata, Mammalia, Carnivora, Ursidae. The record is from Rfam.
GCCUGGCUGGCUCAGUCGGUAGAGCAUGUGAUUCUUGAUCUCAGGGCCUGAGUUCAAGCCCCAUGUUGGGCG